RNAcentral lists this ribosomal RNA (449 nucleotides) under uncultured bacterium. RNAcentral describes it as "partial 16S ribosomal RNA". It matches the Rfam family "Bacterial small subunit ribosomal RNA", at positions 29 to 523 of the family's 1533-position model. The record is from RNAcentral.
AACGAACGCUGGCGGCAGGCUUAACACAUGCAAGUCGAACGCAUCCUUCGGGGUGAGUGGCAGACGGGUGAGUAACGCGUGGGAACGUGCCCUUCAGUUCGGGAUAACCCAGGGAAACUUGGGCUAAUACCGGAUACGUGCGAGAGCAGAAAGAUUUAUCGCUGAAGGAUCGGCCCGCGUUUGAUUAGCUAGUUGGUGGGGUAGUGGCCCACCAAGGCGACGAUCAGUAGCUGGUCUGAGAGGAUGAUCAGCCACAUUGGGACUGAGACACGGCCCAAACUCCUACGGGAGGCAGCAGUGGGGAAUAUUGGACUAUGGGCGCAAGCCUGAUCCAGCCAUGCCGCGUAAGUGAUGAAGGCCUUAGGGUUGUAAAGCUCUUUCGUCCGGGACGAUAAUGACGGUACCGGAAGAAGAAGCCCCGGCUAACUUCGUGCCAGCCGCCGCCGUAA